GCUUCCCCUGGAGGCAGUGCAGGUGUGGCUGCUGUGUCAAACAUGCACCAGUAGGUGGCAGAGAGGAACGAGGCUGUGUCCACACUCCGUGUCCUGACCUGUAACAUCUGAAUGAUUAGCAGCUGAACAUU
Molecule: small nucleolar RNA, 131 nt
Organism: Meriones unguiculatus (Mongolian gerbil)
Lineage: Eukaryota; Metazoa; Chordata; Mammalia; Rodentia; Muridae
Source: Ensembl